Molecule: transfer RNA, 87 nt
Filed under: Candidatus Pseudomonas adelgestsugas
Lineage: Bacteria; Pseudomonadati; Pseudomonadota; Gammaproteobacteria; Pseudomonadales; Pseudomonadaceae
Description: tRNA-Ser
Rfam family: tRNA
About the family: Transfer RNA (tRNA) molecules are approximately 80 nucleotides in length. Their secondary structure includes four short double-helical elements and three loops (D, anti-codon, and T loops).
Source: RNAcentral
GCCCAGGUGGUGAAAUUGGUAGACACGCCAGCUUCAGGUGCUGGUGAUCGCAGGGUCGUGGAAGUUCGAGUCUUCUUCUGGGCACCA